UAAUACGAGGGUGCAAGCGUUAAUCGGAAUUACUGGGCGUAAAGCGCACGCAGGCGGUUUGUUAAGUCAGAUGUGAAAUCCCCGGGCUCAACCUGGGAACUGCAUUUGAAACUGGCAAGCUAGAGUCUCGUAGAGGGGGGUAGAAUUCCAGGUGUAGCGGUGAAAUGCGUAGAGAUCUGGAGGAAUACCGGUGGCGAAGGCGGCCCCCUGGACGAAGACUGACGCUCAGGUGCGAAAGCGUGGGGAGCAAACAGGAUUAGAUACCCUGGUAGUCCACGCUGUAAACGAUGUCGAUUUGGAGGUUGUGCCCUUGAGGCGUGGCUUCCGGAGCUAACGCGUUAAAUCGACCGCCUGGGGAUACGGCCGCAAGGUUA
This 374-nucleotide ribosomal RNA is filed under the name uncultured Serratia sp. RNAcentral describes it as "bacterial SSU rRNA". It matches the Rfam family "Bacterial small subunit ribosomal RNA", at positions 521 to 896 of the family's 1533-position model. The record is from RNAcentral. Lineage: Bacteria; Pseudomonadati; Pseudomonadota; Gammaproteobacteria; Enterobacterales; Yersiniaceae.